This 763-nucleotide ribosomal RNA is filed under the name uncultured archaeon. Its description in RNAcentral is "bacterial SSU rRNA". It matches the Rfam family "Archaeal small subunit ribosomal RNA", at positions 139 to 902 of the family's 1478-position model. The record is from RNAcentral.
ACUGGGGAUAAUUCCGGAUAGGCCACAGAUGCUGGAAUGCACUGUGGCUCAAAGCUCCGGCGCCGAAGGAUGGGUCUGCGGCCUAUCAGGGUUGUAGUGGGUGUAAUGUACCUACUAGCCUACGACGGGUACGGGUUGUGAGAGCAAGAGCCCGGAGAUGGAUUCUGAGACACGAAUCCAGGCCCUACGGGGUGCAGCAGGCGCGAAAACUUUACAAUGCGGGAAACCGUGAUAAGGGAAUCUCGAGUGCCAGCAUAUAAUGUUGGCUGUCCAGAUGCCUAAAAAGCAUCUGUUAGCAAGGGCCGGGCAAGACCGGUGCCAGCCGCCGCGGUAACACCGGCGGCCCGAGUGGUAACCGCUUUUAUUGGGUCUAAAGGGUCUGUAGUCGGCCAUGUAAGUCCCUUGGGAAAUCUGGCAGCUCAACUGUCAGGCUGCUAGGGGAUACUGCUUGGCUUGGGACCGGGAGAGGUGAGAGGUACCUUGAGGGUAGGGGUGAAAUCUUGUGAUCCUCGGGGGACCACCAGUGGCGAAGGCGUCUCACCAGAACGGGUCCGACGGUAAGGGACGAAAGCUAGGGGCACGAACCGGAUUAGAUACCCGGGUAGUCCUAGCCGUAAACGAUGCUCGCUAGGUGUCAGUCACGGUGCGACCGUGAUUGGUGCCGUAGGGAAGCCGUGAAGCGAGCCACCUGGGAAGUACGGCCGCAAGGCUGAAACUUAAAGGAAUUGGCGGGGGAGCACUACAACGGGUGGAGCCUGCGGUU